UACGUAGGGACCUAGCGUUGUCCGGAAUCAUUGGGCGUAAAGCGCGCGUAGGCGGCCCGGUAAGUCCGUUGUAAAAGUCGAAGGCUCAACCUUCGAAAGCCGAUGGAUACUGCCGGGCUAGAGUACGGAAGAGGCGAGUAGAAUUCCUGGUGUAGCGGUGGAAUGCGCAGAUAUCAGGAGGAAUACCCAUAGCGAAGGCAGCUCGCUGGGACGUUACUGACGCUGAGGAACGAAAGCCAGGGGAGCGAACGGG
This 253-nucleotide ribosomal RNA is filed under the name uncultured bacterium. Its description in RNAcentral is "partial 16S ribosomal RNA". It matches the Rfam family "Bacterial small subunit ribosomal RNA", at positions 524 to 776 of the family's 1533-position model. The record is from RNAcentral.